Non-coding RNA from Schizosaccharomyces pombe (fission yeast), 1022 nucleotides. NCBI's taxonomy places the organism in Eukaryota, Fungi, Ascomycota, Schizosaccharomycetes, Schizosaccharomycetales, Schizosaccharomycetaceae. The record is from the annotation of a GenBank genome assembly.
AUUAAUGCGUAAUACAACAAAGAAGUAAAAUAAGUUUGGUGGCAAAAAUGGAUAUACAAGAACUUUAGAAGAUGAAUGCAUAUACCCGUUACAUUUAAUCAAUUCGGGCACGAUGAAUUGGAAUUGGAACAAAAUCAUCAAGUUUCACGGGUAAAGCAUCGCGAGCAUGGGACGGAAUUAGUUUUUGGUUAAGGUCAGGACGAAUGGAUAGUUCGAAGGGGGAAAAAUUAAACAAUUCGGGUAAAUGACGAGGAGAAGCAUCGGGAUUACGAGAGUUAUGAAGCUUAGUAUUAGGAUCCCGAAGCUCAUCAAAAAAGGGAUGGCACAUUGCCUCAGCAGCAGUAAGGCGAUCAGUAGGUGUAUAUUGAAGCAUUUUUGAUAAGAGAUCCAAUGCAUCAAGGGGAACACUUCGAGAAAACACUCGUGAAAGAGGCUGUGGACGUAUUUGUGGGAAUCGAUGUUCCAUAUAAUUAGGAUUCAUAGUCUUUAUUUGUUCUCGACUAGGAGUACCGAGAAUUUUGAUAAUCUCUACCAACUGAUCAAUGCCACUUUCACCGGGAAAAAGAGGAUGUCCAAGCAUAAGCUCAGCCAUCACGCAUCCAGUAGACCAGAUGUCAAUAGCGUGAGUAUAAUCAGUAGCUCCAAAAAUCAAUUCUGGAGCUCGAUAAUAACGAGAACAUAUAUAAGAGACAUUUGGUUCACCAGCAACCAAGAUUUUUGCGCUACCAAAAUCACAAAGCUUUAAUAUUCCGUUUUCCGGAUCUAAUAGUAGAUUUUGAGGUUUGAUAUCACGAUGGCAAAUACCGCUAGCAUGAAUGUAGGCUAAAGAACGCAAAAGCUGAUAUAUAUACAAUUUGACUUCCAGCAUUGGCAUAGAAAGUUUUUGACGAGUAUAUAGACGAGAAGCACGAUAAAUCGUUUCAGGCAUAAACUCUAGAACCAAAUUUAGAUAGACUUCAUCGGAAUUAUCACCGGUGGUAUAAUAGUAGGCAAUUAAAUCGACAAUAUUUGGAUGCUUCAUA